Molecule: ribosomal RNA, 467 nt
Filed under: uncultured bacterium
Lineage: Bacteria
Description: partial 16S ribosomal RNA
Rfam family: Bacterial small subunit ribosomal RNA
Source: RNAcentral
GACGAACGCUGGCGGCGUGCUUAACACAUGCAAGUCGAACGGAAAGGCCCUGCUUUUGUGGGGUGCUCGAGUGGCGAACGGGUGAGUAACACGUGAGUAACCUGCCCUUGACUUUGGGAUAACUUCAGGAAACUGGGGCUAAUACCGGAUAGGAGCUCCUGCUGCAUGGUGGGGGUUGGAAAGUUUCGGCGGUUGGGGAUGGACUCGCGGCUUAUCAGCUUGUUGGUGGGGUAGUGGCUUACCAAGGCUUUGAGGGUAGCCGGCCUGAGAGGGUGACCGGCCACAUUGGGACUGAGAUACGGCCCAGACUCCUACGGGAGGCAGCAGUGGGGAAUAUUGCACAAUGGGCGGAAGCCUGAUGCAGCAACGCCGCGUGCGGGAUGACGGCCUUCGGGUUGUAAACCGCUUUCGCCUGUGACGAAGCGUGAGUGACGGUAAUGGGUAAAGAAGCACCGGCUAACUACGUG